Molecule: transfer RNA, 72 nt
Filed under: Schizosaccharomyces japonicus yFS275
Lineage: Eukaryota; Fungi; Ascomycota; Schizosaccharomycetes; Schizosaccharomycetales; Schizosaccharomycetaceae
Description: tRNA-Arg (ACG) (tRNA-Arg-ACG-1-1)
Rfam family: tRNA
About the family: Transfer RNA (tRNA) molecules are approximately 80 nucleotides in length.
Source: RNAcentral
GGUCUCGUGGCCAAUGGUUAAGGCGCUUGACUACGGAUCAAGAGAUUCCAGGUUCGACUCCUGGCGGGAUCG